AUACGGAGGGUGCAAGCGUUAUCCGGAUUUAUUGGGUUUGAAGGGUCCGUAGGCGGAUCUGUAAGUCAGUGGUGAAAUCUCAUAGCUUAACUAUGAAACUGCCAUUGAUACUGCAGGUCUUGAGUAAGGUAGAAGUAGCUGGAAUAAGUAGUGUAGCGGUGAAAUGCAUAGAUAUUACUUAGAACACCAAUUGCGAAGGCAGGUUACUAUGUCUUAACUGACGCUGAUGGACGAAAGCGUGGGGAGCGAACAGGAUUAGAAACCCCGGUAGUCC
RNAcentral lists this ribosomal RNA (274 nucleotides) under uncultured bacterium. Its description in RNAcentral is "partial 16S ribosomal RNA". It matches the Rfam family "Bacterial small subunit ribosomal RNA", at positions 523 to 796 of the family's 1533-position model. The record is from RNAcentral.